GACGAACGCUGGCGGCGUGCUUAACACAUGCAAGUCGAACGGAAAGGCCCUGCUUUUGUGGGGUGCUCGAGUGGCGAACGGGUGAGUAACACGUGAGUAACCUGCCCUUGACUUUGGGAUAACUUCAGGAAACUGGGGCUAAUACCGGAUAGGAGCUCCUGCUGCAUGGUGGGGGUUGGAAAGUUUCGGCGGUUGGGGAUGGACUCGCGGCUUAUCAGCUUGUUGGUGGGGUAGUGGCUUACCAAGGCUUUGACGGGUAGCCGGCCUGAGAGGGUGACCGGCCACAUUGGGACUGAGAGACGGCCCAGACUCCUACGGGAGGCAGCAGUGGGGAAUAUUGCACAAUGGGCGGAAGCCUGAUGCAGCAACGCCGCGUGCGGGAUGACGGCCUUCGGGUUGUAAACCGCUUUCGCCUGUGACGAAGCGUGAGUGACAGUAAUGGGUAAAGAAGCACCGGCUAACUACGUG
RNAcentral lists this ribosomal RNA (468 nucleotides) under uncultured bacterium. Its description in RNAcentral is "partial 16S ribosomal RNA". It matches the Rfam family "Bacterial small subunit ribosomal RNA", at positions 28 to 507 of the family's 1533-position model. The record is from RNAcentral.